UCUCCUACGGGACGCAGCAGUGAGGAAUAUUGGUCAAUGGGCGGAAGCCUGAACCAGCCAAGUCGCGUGAGGGAAUAAGGCCCUACGGGUCGUAAACCUCUUUUGCCGGGGAGCAAGGGCGGGGACGUGUCCCGGCCCGGAGAGUACCCGGAGAAAAAGCAUCGGCUAACCCCGUGCCAGCAGCCGCGGUAAUACGGAGGAUGCGAGCGUUAUCCGGAUUUAUUGGGUUUAAAGGGUGCGUAGGCGGGCUUUUAAGUCAGCGGUAAAAAUGCGGAGCUCAACUCCGUCGAGCCGUUGAAACUGUU
This 305-nucleotide ribosomal RNA is filed under the name uncultured bacterium. Its description in RNAcentral is "bacterial SSU rRNA". It matches the Rfam family "Bacterial small subunit ribosomal RNA", at positions 335 to 637 of the family's 1533-position model. The record is from RNAcentral.